RNAcentral lists this ribosomal RNA (301 nucleotides) under uncultured eukaryote. RNAcentral describes it as "partial 18S ribosomal RNA". It matches the Rfam family "Eukaryotic small subunit ribosomal RNA", at positions 1470 to 1796 of the family's 1831-position model. The record is from RNAcentral.
CCCUUAGAUAGUUUGGGCUGCACGCGCGCUACACUGAUAACCAAAACAAGUUUAAAUGUUCGAAGGAAUAUUUUACUCGUUAAAAGUUAUCGUGCUAGGGAUAGGCCCUUGUAAUUUUUGGCCUUGAACGAGGAAUUCCUAGUAUGCGUAAGUCAGGAACUUGCACAGAAUAAGUCCCUGCCCUUUGUACACACCGCCCGUCGCUCCUACCGAUUGGAUGUUCCGGUGAGGAAUGAGGACAGGGAUUUAUCCUUGAAACUGUUUCAAACCUUAACAUCUAGAGGAAGGAGAAGUCGUAACA